RNAcentral lists this ribosomal RNA (494 nucleotides) under uncultured bacterium. Its description in RNAcentral is "partial 16S ribosomal RNA". It matches the Rfam family "Bacterial small subunit ribosomal RNA", at positions 28 to 507 of the family's 1533-position model. The record is from RNAcentral.
GACGAACGCUGGCGGCGUGCUUGACACAUGCAAGUCGAACGGAAAGGCCUGCUUUCCCUUGUGGAUUGCGGGUACUCGAGUGGCGAACGGGUGAGUAACACGUGAGUGAUCUGCCCCCAACUUGGGUAUAAGCCUGGGAAACUGGGUCUAAUUCCCGAUAGGACUGCAGGGUGGUGCCUGUGGUGGAAAACGAUUUUCUAGUGGUUGGGGAUGAGCUCGCGGCCUAUCAGCUUGUUGGUGGGGUAAUGGCCUACCAAGGCGGCGACGGGUAGCCGGCUUGAGAGGGUGGACGGCCACAUUGGGACUGAGAUACGGCCCAGACUCCUACGGGAGGCAGCAGUGGGGAAUAUUGCACAAUGGGCGGAAGCCUGAUGCAGCGACGCCGCGUGGGGGAUGACGGCCUUCGGGUUGUAAACUCCUUUCGACCGCGAGGAAGCCACCUGGUUGGAAGGGUGGUGACGGUAGUGGUAGAAGAAGCACCGGCUAACUACGUG